GUAGAUGGAUGCUUCGAUAUAUAGUAUAUUACAGUAUCAAUCGGAUUUACAUGCUCAGCCGCCAAAAA
Molecule: small RNA, 68 nt
Filed under: Plasmodium falciparum 3D7
Lineage: Eukaryota; Apicomplexa; Aconoidasida; Haemosporida; Plasmodiidae
Description: Pfa-mtR17a
Source: RNAcentral